UACGUAGGCAGCAAGCGUUGUUCGGAGUUACUGGGCGUAAAGGGUGCGUAGGCGGUUGUUUAAGUUUGGUGUGAAAUCUCCCGGCUCAACCGGGAGGGUGCGCCGAAUACUGAAUGACUAGAGUGCGGGAGAGGAAAGUGGAAUUCCUGGUGUAGCGGUGAAAUGCGUAGAUAUCAGGAGGAACACCGGUGGUGUAGACGGCUUUCUGGACCGUAACUGACGCUGAGGCACGAAAGCGUGGGUAGCAAACAGG
Molecule: ribosomal RNA, 253 nt
Filed under: uncultured bacterium
Lineage: Bacteria
Description: partial 16S ribosomal RNA
Rfam family: Bacterial small subunit ribosomal RNA
Source: RNAcentral